This 83-nucleotide transfer RNA is filed under the name Clostridiales bacterium. Its description in RNAcentral is "tRNA-Leu". It matches the Rfam family "tRNA". Rfam says of the family: Transfer RNA (tRNA) molecules are approximately 80 nucleotides in length. The record is from RNAcentral. Lineage: Bacteria; Bacillati; Bacillota; Clostridia; Eubacteriales.
GCCCGAGUGGCGGAAUGGCAGACGCGGUGGACUCAAAAUCCACUGAUGGUAACAUCGUGGGGGUUCAAGUCCCUUCUCGGGCA